CAGUCGCCGCGGUAAAACGUAUGUCACAAGCGUUAUCCGGAUUUAUUGGGCGUAAAGCGCGCGCAGGCGGAUCAGUUAGUCUGUCUUAAAAGUUCGGGGCUUAACCCCGUGAUGGGAUGGAAACUGCUGAUCUAGAGUAUCGGAGAGGAAAGUGGAAUUCCUAGUGUAGCGGUGAAAUGCGUAGAUAUUAGGAAGAACACCAGUGGCGAAGGCGACUUUCUGGACGAAAACUGACGCUGAGGCGCGAAAGCCAGGGGAGCGAACGGGAUUAGAUACCCCAGUAGUCCCUGUCUCUUAUACC
This 301-nucleotide ribosomal RNA is filed under the name uncultured bacterium. RNAcentral's name for it is "partial 16S ribosomal RNA". It matches the Rfam family "Bacterial small subunit ribosomal RNA", at positions 509 to 808 of the family's 1533-position model. The record is from RNAcentral.